UCGGGAAUAUUGCGCAAUGGAGGGAACUCUGACGCAGUGACGCCGCGUAUAGGAAGAAGGUUUUCGGAUUGUAAACUAUUUUAGUCAGGGAAGAGAAAAGACGGUACCUGAAGAAUAAGCUCCGGCUAACUACGUGCC
This 138-nucleotide ribosomal RNA is filed under the name uncultured bacterium. RNAcentral's name for it is "partial 16S ribosomal RNA". It matches the Rfam family "Bacterial small subunit ribosomal RNA", at positions 355 to 509 of the family's 1533-position model. The record is from RNAcentral.